AGGUCGACCCGCUGAACUUAAGCAUAUCAAUAAGCGGAGGAAAAGAAACUAACAAGGAUUCCCUUAGUAACGGCGAGUGAACAGGGAUUAGCCCAUAACCGAAUCCUGCAGCGCGAGUUGCUAGGAAAUGUGGUGUUUGGUUCCGAUUCCUACGGCAUGUUGGAGCUGUUUUAAGUCCACGUGAUUGUGGCAUCAAGCCCAUAGAGGGUGUGAGGCCCGUCAAAGCAGUACAGCAUGUCCAGGAGCGGUUCCUCGAGUCGGGUUGCUUGGAAAUGCAGCCCUAAUGCGGUGGUAAACUCCAUCGAAGGCUAAAUACAACACGAGUCCGAUAGCGAACAAGUACCAUGAGGGAAAGUUGAAAAGAACUUUGAAGAGAGAGUUCAAUAGUGCGUGAAACCGCUCAAAGGAUAAACGGGAAACGCUGAGGUGGGGCUCGGACAUUUGUACUACGAUGUGGCAAUCUUGUGGGUGCGGAGUCUUUAUCGCUCGGCCUAUUAGGUUCGCUAUGUUGUUGUGCUAUUGUUCGGGUUCGACACUACGAGCAGUAAUUAAGAUGGUCUGGCGUCUGAGGGAAGGUAGCUUGCUUGCAAGUGUUAUAGCCUUUGGGCCUGGUACCGUCCGAAUACUGGUGUUCGAUGCACGCCUUUUGGCGCAUAAGGUAGCUCUGGGUCUGAGGUAGCUUUGACAACUCAUAAAGAGAUGGCUUGGCUUUCUGAGGAUCAAUUGUUACCCUCUGUGUGGUGUGUCGAUUAUCGUGGUGAUAUAGUAGGCAUGUUUCCUGUCCCGUCUUGAAACACGGACCAAGGAGUUGUACAUGUACGCGAGUCAUUGGGUCGUACGAAACCUAAAGGCGCAUUGAAAGAAAAGGCUUCUCUUUUUGGAGGCUUAGGUACGAUCCUGGUAGUGAUGGGCUUAAUGCACACACUCUGGGCGCAGUACCGGCUCAUCCCAUGCUUUAUGAAGCGGGGUGACGCAAGAGCGUACACGUUCAGACCCGAAAGAUGGUGAACUAUGCGUGUGUAGGUUGAAGCCAGAGGAAACUCUGGUGGAGGACUAAAGCGGUUCUGACGUGCAAAUCGAUCGUCAAACAUGCGUAUAGGGGCGAAAGACUAAUCGAACCAUCUAGUAGCUGGUUCCCCUCGAAGUUUCCCUCAGGAUAGCAGGCAUUUGGGAAGUAAUCAGUUUUAUCCGGUAAAGCGAAUGAUUAGCAGCAUUGGGGAUGAAAUAUCCUCAACUGAUUCUCAAACUUUAAAUGGGUGAGAAGCAUGACUCUCUUUAUUGGAGUUGUGCCUUCGAAUGAAAGUGCCUAGUGGGCCAUUUUUGGUAAGCAGAACUGGCGCUGUGGGAUGAACCAAACGCUUGGUUACGGAGCCAAACAUGUCGCUCAUGAGAAACCACAAAAGGUGUUGGUUGAUUUUGACAGCAGGACGGUGGCCAUGGAAGUCGGAAUCCGCUAAGGAGUGUGUAACAACUCACCUGCCGAAUCAACCAGCCCUGAAAAUGGAUGGCGCUCGAGCGAUGGUCCUAUACCAGGCCGUUACUGCGAAAUGUAUGCAGUAACGAGUAGAGGGGCGCCGUGGUGAGCAUCGAAGCCUAGGACGUGAGUCUGGGUGGAGCCGCCACGGGUGCAGAUCUUGGUGGUAGUAGCAAAUAUUCAAGUGAGAACCUUGAAGACUGAAGUGGAGAAGGGUUC
RNAcentral lists this ribosomal RNA (1693 nucleotides) under Progyrator mamertinus. Its description in RNAcentral is "eukaryotic LSU rRNA". It matches the Rfam family "Eukaryotic large subunit ribosomal RNA", at positions 23 to 1509 of the family's 3401-position model. Lineage: Eukaryota; Metazoa; Platyhelminthes; Rhabdocoela; Polycystididae. The record is from RNAcentral.